Molecule: ribosomal RNA, 307 nt
Filed under: Flavobacteriaceae bacterium
Lineage: Bacteria; Pseudomonadati; Bacteroidota; Flavobacteriia; Flavobacteriales; Flavobacteriaceae
Description: partial 16S ribosomal RNA
Rfam family: Bacterial small subunit ribosomal RNA
Source: RNAcentral
UAACAAUGAAGAGUUUGAUCCUGGCUCAGGAUGAACGCUAGCGGCAGGCCUAACACAUGCAAGUCGAGGGGUAACAGAAAGUGCUUGCACUUUGCUGACGACCGGCGAACGGGUGAGUACCGCGUAUACAAUCUGCCUCAUACUAGGGAAUAGCCCGAAGAAAUUUGGAUUAAUGCCCUAUAGUAUCUUUUUAAGGCAUCUUAUUAAGAUUAAAGAUUACGGUAUGAGAUGAGUAUGCGUUCUAUUAGCUAGUAGGUGUGGUAACGGCACACCUAGGCUACGAUAGAUAGGGGCCCUGAGAGGGGGA